AAAGCGCGCGUAGGUGGUUUGUUAAGUUGGAUGUGAAAUCCCCGGGCUCAACCUGGGAACUGCAUUCAAAACUGACUGACUAGAGUAUGGUAGAGGGUGGUGGAAUUUCCUGUGUAGCGGUGAAAUGCGUAGAUAUAGGAAGGAACACCAGUGGCGAAGGCGACCACCUGGACUAAUACUGACACUGAGGUGCGAAAGCGUGGGGAGCAAACAGGAUUAGAUACCCUUGU
RNAcentral lists this ribosomal RNA (230 nucleotides) under uncultured bacterium. RNAcentral's name for it is "partial 16S ribosomal RNA". It matches the Rfam family "Bacterial small subunit ribosomal RNA", at positions 562 to 791 of the family's 1533-position model. The record is from RNAcentral.